RNAcentral lists this unclassified non-coding RNA (184 nucleotides) under uncultured Sordariomycetes. RNAcentral describes it as "sequence contains ITS1". The stretch from base 1 to 100 matches the Rfam family "5.8S ribosomal RNA", at positions 50 to 154 of the family's 154-position model. From Rfam's summary of the family: 5.8S ribosomal RNA (5.8S rRNA) is a component of the large subunit of the eukaryotic ribosome. It is transcribed by RNA polymerase I as part of the 45S precursor that also contains 18S and 28S rRNA. The record is from RNAcentral. Lineage: Eukaryota; Fungi; Ascomycota; Sordariomycetes.
GAAAUGCGAUAAGUAAUGUGAAUUGCAGAAUUCAGUGAAUCAUCGAGUCUUUGAACGCACAUUGCGCCCCCCGGAAUACCAGAGGGCGCAAUUUGCGUUCAAAGAUUCGAUGAUUCACUGAAUUCUGCAAUUCACAUUACUUAUCGCAUUUCGCUGCGUUCUUCAUCGAUGCCAGUGCUUGCCU